GAUGAACGCUAGCGGCGUGGAUAAGGCAUGCAAGUCGAGGGGUUCUCGUUUCGGCGAGGACACCGGCAAACGGGUUAGUAACACGUAGAUACAUACCAUUCACACAGGCAUAACUCAUCGAAAGAUGAGCUAAUUCCUGAUAGUCCCUCCUUCGGGCGGGUAAAGGUUUCGAGCAAUCGAUUCCGGUGGAUGAAUGGUCUGCGGCUUAUCAGCUUGUUGGUGAGGUAAUGGCUCACCAAGGCAAUGACGGGUAGGGGAUAUGAGAGUGUGUUCCCCAACAAGGGCACUGCGACACGGGCCCUACUCCUACGGGAGGCAGCAGUCGAGAAUAAUUCGCAAUGGGCGAAAGCCUGACGAUGCGACGCCGCGUGCUCGAAGAAUCCCUUCGGGGUGUAAAGAGCUUUUCUGGAGGAAGAAUUUGCCUUUGGCAGAUGACGGUACUCCAGGAAUAAGGAGAUGCUAAUCACGUGCCAGCAGCAGCGGUAAUACGUGAUCUCCAAGCGUUAUCCGGAUUUAUUGGGCGUAAAGCGUUCGUAGGCGGUUAGAUAAGUCUCUGGUUAAAGCCCCAUGGCUUAACUAUGGGAAUGCCAGAGAUACUAUCUGACUAGAGGGCGUUAGAGGCUGAUGGAACGGUCGGUGUAGGGGUGAAAUCCGUUGAUAUCGACCGGAACACUAAAAGCGAAGGCAUUCAGCUGGAGCGACCCUGACGCUGAGGAACGAAAGCGUGGGUAGCGAACGAGAUUAGAUA
RNAcentral lists this ribosomal RNA (748 nucleotides) under marine sediment metagenome. RNAcentral describes it as "SSU rRNA". It matches the Rfam family "Bacterial small subunit ribosomal RNA", at positions 28 to 784 of the family's 1533-position model. The record is from RNAcentral.